RNAcentral lists this ribosomal RNA (253 nucleotides) under uncultured bacterium. RNAcentral's name for it is "partial 16S ribosomal RNA". It matches the Rfam family "Bacterial small subunit ribosomal RNA", at positions 524 to 776 of the family's 1533-position model. The record is from RNAcentral.
UACGUAGGGGGCAAGCGUUGUCCGGAAUUAUUGGGCGUAAAGAGCGUGUAGGCGGUUCGAUUAGUCUGCUGUAAAAGUCGGGGGCUCAACCCUCGAAAGCCGGUAGAUACUGUCGAGCUAGAGUACGGAAGAGGCGAGUGGAAUUCCUAGUGUAGCGGUGAAAUGCGCAGAUAUUAGGAGGAACACCAAUUGCGAAGGCAGCUCGCUGGGACGUUACUGACGCUGAGACGCGAAAGCGUGGGGAGCAAACAGG